Molecule: long non-coding RNA, 802 nt
Organism: Betta splendens (Siamese fighting fish)
Lineage: Eukaryota; Metazoa; Chordata; Actinopteri; Anabantiformes; Osphronemidae
Exons: 2
Source: RefSeq, a predicted model, not a curated record
CACAACACAUUUUAUACUGUAUAUUUGUAAUGAUAGAUAAAAGGAAAACCUCAGUUUUCCAAAGGUCGACCAAAAUAACCUUGGGUAAUAUUUAAGAAUGAAGGGACACUCAGAUUGCAGAUUGAAGUUAUAAUUUAUUCCUCCUGUAUAACGCCUCAGUAUUUGCAGUUUGCCGUGGGCUCAAAAACUACAACCUAGUUCUUCCUGGUUUCCUCUGUACCUGCCCCAGCAACGGUCAGACUGAGAGGGGGCGGGGCCAUAUUGGGGGAGGGGCCAUAUUGGGAGGGGCCGGCGCCAGAUUGAGAGGGGGCUGAACCAGCUGGCUGAAGCACAACUGCUCUGUCCACCAUUGUUUUCCUCGCAUUUUCGUACAGUUCUAACAUUCAAUUGCCAAAGGCCUCGCUGUAGAUUAUUUAGAAGACAUUCAGAAGACAUUAUUCAGAAGACUUCAGCACAGUCUGAUAUUCAUGGUUAGUUGCAUGAGCCAGAGUUCAGCGCCGACGAGUUACGCCGUAUGGAGCAGUACGAAGCUGCCUGUAAGGAACCAGCACCCUCAGCAGAGAGCCCAGAGCCGGAUGCAUUGUGUCUCUGCGCAGCAGGACAGACCUGAAAAAAACAACUGGGACAGAAUGGUCAAAUGAGCACUGAGUAAUAUCGGCCGUCUGCUUUUCGUCACAGAGACCGUUGAAAGAGAAAACCGUCUUGUUUUUCCAGCCACUGAAGAGGGUUUUGGCUAAAUAUGUGAAUCUGUGGCUUCCUAAUAACUGUCUGCUUUGACUCAAAUUAAAAAGCUGCAAAACGA